AACGAACGCUGGCGGCAUGCCUAACACAUGCAAGUCGAACGAGACCUUCGGGUCUAGUGGCGCACGGGUGCGUAACGCGUGGGAACCUGCCCUUAGGUUCGGAAUAACUCCCCGAAAGGGGUGCUAAUACCGGUUAAUGUCUUCGGACCAAAGAUUUAUCGCCUUUGGAUGGGCCCGCGUUGGAUUAGCUAGUUGGUAGGGUAAAAGCCUACCAAGGCGACGAUCCAUAGCUGGUCUGAGAGGAUGACAAGCCACACUGGGACUGCGACACGGCCCAGACUCCUACGGAAGGCAGCGGUAGGGAAUAUUGGACAAUGGGGGCAAACGUAAUCAAGCAGUGCCGCGUGUGUGAGGAAGGGCUUUGUGUUGUAAAGCUCUUUUACCCGGGAUGAUAAUGACAGUACCGGGUGAAUAAGCUCCGGCUAACUCCGUG
RNAcentral lists this ribosomal RNA (433 nucleotides) under uncultured bacterium. RNAcentral's name for it is "partial 16S ribosomal RNA". It matches the Rfam family "Bacterial small subunit ribosomal RNA", at positions 29 to 507 of the family's 1533-position model. The record is from RNAcentral.